Molecule: ribosomal RNA, 490 nt
Filed under: uncultured bacterium
Lineage: Bacteria
Description: partial 16S ribosomal RNA
Rfam family: Bacterial small subunit ribosomal RNA
Source: RNAcentral
AGUGAACGCUGGCGGUAGGCCUAACACAUGCAAGUCGAACGGCAGCACAGUAAGAGCUUGCUCUUACGGGUGGCGAGUGGCGGACGGGUGAGGAAUACAUCGGAAUCUACUUUUUCGUGGGGGAUAACGUAGGGAAACUUACGCUAAUACCGCAUACGACCUACGGGUGAAAGCAGGGGAUCUUCGGACCUUGCGCGAUUGAAUGAGCCGAUGUCGGAUUAGCUAGUUGGCGGGGUAAAGGCCCACCAAGGCGACGAUCCGUAGCUGGUCUGAGAGGAUGAUCAGCCACACUGGAACUGAGACACGGUCCAGACUCCUACGGGAGGCAGCAGUGGGGAAUAUUGGACAAUGGGCGCAAGCCUGAUCCAGCCAUACCGCGUGGGUGAAGAAGGCCUUCGGGUUGGAAAGCCCUUUUGUUGGGAAAGAAAAGCAGCAGGUUAAUACCCCGCUGUUCUGACGGUACCCAAAGAAUAAGCACCGGCUAACUUCG